Molecule: long non-coding RNA, 2134 nt
Organism: Oncorhynchus keta (chum salmon)
Lineage: Eukaryota; Metazoa; Chordata; Actinopteri; Salmoniformes; Salmonidae
Exons: 3
Source: RefSeq, a predicted model, not a curated record
CACAACACGGUACUGGUUUCAGCACAUCGUUUAUGAUUUUGUAUUUCAGUGUUCAGUUUGUUUUUAAUGAAUCGUCAUGAACACUUACCACGCUGCAUCUUGGUCCGAUCCUUACUCCUCUUCAGACGAAGAGGAAAUCUGACGUUACAGGGAUACCUUCUACGUCAACACCAUGACCAGCUGGCACAACUGGGGAUGGCUAUGGAAGAGGUUUUUCCCAGUUUGCAACAUCUCGAUCAAACCCGGGAGGCGUUGCCUUCAACUACCUGAUGAUACAACCAGCCGACCCAGUGAGCCAGCACAACAGCCCAUUCAGCAACCCGCUCAGGGGGACGGCUGCAGAGUAUACACUCACCUUCCGGACAGUAGAAGCAUCCAUUGGAUGGAAUGAGCCGGUGCUUCGUACACUAUUCAGAAGAGUCUGCGCGAGGAGGUCCAGGCGGAACUGGCCUGUCGAGACAACCUCACCUUGGAAGCACUCAUUGCUUCAGCUGUGUCGCAGCUUCUCUCACCUCUCUCCUUAAGGGAGGUUCCCAUAGGUUGGUUUGGAGCCCAGCUGCCGACGAGACCUGUCUCCUCAAGGGUCAUUUCACCUCUGCCCCAUUGUUCAAACAGAUCCCACGAUAUCCUUUGUGGUGGAGGUGGACGCUUCAUAGGUAGGGGUGGGGGCAGUUCUGUCUCGAUGACAGGGUAAUCCACAGAAGUUGUACCCAUGUGCUUUUUACUCUAAGAAACUGUCCCCUGCAGAGGAAUUGUGGCUGUGAGCUCCUGGCACUGACGUUUGCAUUAGAGGAGUGGAGACACUGACUGGAGGGCACCAAGGAACCAUUCGUCAUUCACACUGACCAUUGGAACCUGGAUUUCACACUGACCUAUUGCCCAGGUUCAAAGAACACCAACGCUGAUGUCCUGUCCUGCCUCUACGAUUCGGGAGAUGGUCCUGUCCAGAAUGCACCUAUAACCCAUCCUCCUGAGUUGCAGCUCCUGUGGUCUAAAACAUAGAUGUGGAAAUCCACCAGGCUCUGGAGAGGGAGCCCGCCCCCGCUAACUGUCCUCCCAAGCGCAUUUACAUUCCUACAGGGAUAAGGGACUGGCUUCUGACCUGGGCACACACAGCUGUUGUCACUGGACAUCCAUGUAUUUCUUGCACUACCCAAUCCAUCUCUGGGAAAUACUGGUGGCCCGCCUUAGAGCAGGAUGUCACUCUUUACAUUAACUCCUGUUCCGUAUGUGCCCAAACCAAAUACCCCUGGAACGCUCCAGCAGUUAAUCUCCUUCACCUUCCCGUGGCUCAGCGUCCCUGGUCCCAUCCCUCCCUUGACUUUGUUACUGAUCUCCCCUUCUCUGACGGGUUCACCACCAUUUUGGUGGUUUUGGAUAGAUUUUCCAAAUCCUGUCAUUUAAUCCCUCUUUCUAGUCUCCCUACUGCUUUCCAGGUCACUGAGGCACUCUUCCAGCAGGUCUUCCGGCAUUAGGGCCUUCCAGAGAACAUUGUCUCAUCUCACAUCAUGGGUAUGGAAAGCCUUUGUAGAGAAUCUCGGGGUCACGGUCAGCCUCACUUCCGGGUACCGGCCUCAGUCCAUCGGGCAGGUGGAGAGGAUGAACCAGGAGCUGGGGAGGUUCCUGAGGAGUCACUGUCAGGACCGGCAGGGAGAGCGGGUACGAUUCCUUCCAUGGGCAGAGUACGCCCAGAACUCGCUACGUCACUCCUUCACUGGGUUGACCCCCUUCCAGUAGGUUUUCAGCCGGCCCUGGCUCCGUGGACCCCGGGCCAGAGCGAAGCCCCUAUGGUUGAUGUGUGGUUCUGGCGUGCAGAAGAAGUGUGGAGCGAUGUUCACAUGAGACUCCAGCAUGCCGUCCACCGUCAAAAGGAGCAGGCGACCCCUGUGUUCCACCCUGAAGAUUGUGUGGCUUUCUACCAUUAAUCUCAUACUCUGCCUGCCCUGCAAGAAACUGAGCCCCCUGUUUGUUGGGCCAUUCAAGGCUCUCUGGAGGGUCAACGAGACGAAGUAUAGGUUACGGUAGUCACUGGGAAGUUGUAUCUCACCUUUUCAUGUCUCCCUUCUCAGGCUGGUGGUUCCUGGUCCCCUAGCCGAUGCUUUCCCCCACAACACAAUUAAACGUUUCACCUGCA